AUACUUACAUGGCAGAGGAGAUACCACGAUCACAUGGUUCUCUCAAGGCAGAGGUCAUCCAAAGCACUCAGGUCUUUCCAACACCUGCAGUUUCCUCAAGCAGGGGAACUCAGCUGCACAAUUUCUGUUCGUGGGGAAUUUCGCACUGUCCCCC
This is a small nuclear RNA of Panthera pardus (leopard), 154 nucleotides long. Its record names the gene U1. It matches the Rfam family "U1 spliceosomal RNA". From Rfam's summary of the family: U1 is a small nuclear RNA (snRNA) component of the spliceosome (involved in pre-mRNA splicing). Its 5' end forms complementary base pairs with the 5' splice junction, thus defining the 5' donor site of an intron. The record is from Ensembl. Lineage: Eukaryota; Metazoa; Chordata; Mammalia; Carnivora; Felidae.